Molecule: ribosomal RNA, 250 nt
Filed under: uncultured prokaryote
Description: partial 16S ribosomal RNA
Rfam family: Bacterial small subunit ribosomal RNA
Source: RNAcentral
UACGUAAGGGGCAAGCGUUAUCCGGAUUUACUGGGUGUAAAGGGAGCGUAGACGGCAUAACAAGUCUAAUGUGAAAGGCUGGGGCUUAACCCCGGGACUGCAUUGGAAACUGUUAAGCUUGAGUGCCGGAGGGGUAAGCGGAAUUCCUAGUGUAGCGGUGAAAUGUGUAGAUAUUAGGAGGAACACCAGUGGCGAAGGCGGCUUACUGGACGGCAACUGACGUUAAGGCUCGAAAGCGUGGGGAGCAAAC